Molecule: unclassified non-coding RNA, 204 nt
Filed under: Hevea brasiliensis (rubber tree)
Lineage: Eukaryota; Viridiplantae; Streptophyta; Magnoliopsida; Malpighiales; Euphorbiaceae
Source: RNAcentral
UCAGGAUCACAUACCUUAUCUUCCCCACCUUGAAGAAUCAGCAAAGGGACUUGUAGUUCAUGAGAGUUCCUCUGUAUAUACUCACAGACUUUCAGAAGCUCUAGUGCAGUGGCAGCUGGUGGCUUCUCGGAAGCCAGGCGAUUUGGACUUUUUGAGAUAAUCUUUCUCUUCCACUCCUCUUUGUAUGAUAUAGAUGCAGAGAAG